AUUCGGACUAAUUGAGUAAUGGAAGGAUCCGUAAUUGAGAAAUGAAACCCAAUUCCAAAUACUUAAAACCCUAAAAGUUGUUUGCGACUCAAUUCUACGGUUCAAGCCGAGGAGGCGGCAGUGAAGAAUCUCUUUAUCGUUUUUUCAUUGGAAUAAGAUCAAAUCUCGAGUGAUGAAACUAAUCUCAAUCCUAGAGUUGGCUUGGAUAGAGGAACAAACACUUGACUAGCUUGAUUUCUUUGUUGGGUCUCCCCGGUAAACUCAUCUUAAAUCCAUAUGAUAUGGUUUUGAAGGAUGGACAAGUUUCACAACCAAAUUUGUCAUCUUAAUCUCAUUUGCGAGUUUCAAGCCAACCACAGGAGAUUAUUUGCACAUUGCCAAACAGUUAUCUUUUUCGAUUUCCACUACUUAUUAAUCAGUUUGGUUGGCCCCAUCAAUGACAUUUCCACUGCUCAUUAAACAUGCUUUCUCCAUAUGAAGUGAUGAUAUAUUUUGCUUUCUGGGAACAUGUUUAUUCUCUUGAUGAGAGAGGGAUCUUCUUCAAAACAGUGAUUGUAAACAGAUAUCCUGAUUGUGAAUAUAUUUCGUUUUACACUUUAUCAAGUACGGGGCUGAAUGCUUCUACUGCUGCUGCCAAUCUAUCUAAAGAGAAGGACCAGAUGUUUGCCUCCAGUAGAUUUUCUGAAGACAAUGUAGACAAUGAAGCUCUUUGCAUUGCUGCAAACACUGAACGUGAUGGAAGUGGUUAUGUGAUACAAAAUCAUGGAAACAAAAAGAGUCAAAACCUAUAAAAAAACAUAUCUAUAUUAGCCUGUAAUGUCUCAGUUAAUGCGAAGCUGCUUGCGAUGUAAGUUUAUCUUUCUUCUCACUUUUGGGACCAACAGAUAAAAGUGACAUUAUUUUUUAGUCAUGAUUUUUCUUUAUGCUGAGGAACCCUUGAAGGAGAUGAUGUUAUGUUACUUGACAUACCUCAACAAGUCAGAGAGGCAGAUAAGGAUAAGAAGACGAAGGGAUAGAAGAAUCAGUAAGAGACAUGUCGAAUGGAUGAUAUUAAGAAGAAAUAGAGAAGAAGGAAGGAAGAGAUAAUGUGUCGGUUUUAGUUUUUUUUUUUUUGGGUAAAUAACCUUUUAUCGUAUGUACUUUUUUUUUGAGUCUAAGCAUUGUCAUUUUUCCUUUUUUUAAGUAACCAACAAUUUGGUUUCUCCAUUAUAAUAUUCAUUUGGUAAUAUA
Camelina sativa (false flax) is the source of this 1230-nucleotide non-coding RNA. The record is from RefSeq and is a predicted model, not a curated record. NCBI's taxonomy places the organism in Eukaryota, Viridiplantae, Streptophyta, Magnoliopsida, Brassicales, Brassicaceae.